AGAAUCAACGCUGGCGGCGUGCCUAACACAUGCAAGUCGAACGAGAAAGUGGAGCAAUCCAUGAGUAAAGUGGCGACCGGGUGAGUAACACGUGACUAACCUACCUUCGAGUGGGGGAUAACCUCGGGAAACCGGGGCUAAUACCGCAUAAUAUCCACGGAUCAAAGGAGCAAUUCGCUUGAAGAGGGGGUCGCGGCUGAUUAGUUAGUUGGCGGGGUAAUGGCCCACCAAGACAAUGAUCGGUAGCCGGCCUGAGAGGGCGCACGGCCACACUGGAACUGAAACACGGUCCAGACUCCUACGGGAGGCAGCAGUGGGAAUUUGCGCAAUGGGGGAAACCCUGACGCAGCAACGCCGCGUGGAGGAUGAAGUCCCUUGGGACGUAAACUCCUUUCGACUGGGAAGAUAAUGACGGUACCAGUGGAAGAAGCCCCGGCUAACUUCGUGCCAGCAGCCGC
This 458-nucleotide ribosomal RNA is filed under the name uncultured bacterium. Its description in RNAcentral is "SSU rRNA". It matches the Rfam family "Bacterial small subunit ribosomal RNA", at positions 26 to 518 of the family's 1533-position model. The record is from RNAcentral.